This 441-nucleotide long non-coding RNA is filed under the name Mustela putorius furo (domestic ferret). RNAcentral's name for it is "lncRNA (ENSMPUG00000031680.1)". Lineage: Eukaryota; Metazoa; Chordata; Mammalia; Carnivora; Mustelidae. The record is from RNAcentral.
UUAUUUUUCUGCUUGUUUUUGUUUUUCUUGCUUUCUCAGACGUCUAGAACAAGAUCAGAAGGAAGCAGGGCGUCUGGCCGCCGACUGUAAGGAAACGGCGUCUGAGGUCGGCUCUCGGGUCCUGCAAGUCUGGAGGACCGUGAAGAGGUUCCAUUCUCGGCUGAGCACGCCCGUCCUGCGUCGAAAGUUACCCAGGAUAUAAUGAACCUCCACUGCACGGAAGGGUGAGUUCUGACAAAGGCACCGUCGUUUCGACUUGGCCGUGAAGAUGUAGAAGACUUGUGCCAUCCCCAGGCUCCUUUGCGCUGCUCUGUUGGGAACAGUCCUCUCGGUCCCUGCAUGCCUUGACCACAGCUGGCCGCUCUGUGCCCCCAGAUGUCUGCUUCCCCAGAAUGCCCUAGAAGGGGCUGAUGUAUGCUUACGGAACAGAGUGCAUCUGAG